GGCUUAUAGCUCAGUGGUACAGUGCUUGCCAAGUAUGCAUGAGGCCCUGUGUUCAAGUCCCAGCACCA
RNAcentral lists this transfer RNA (68 nucleotides) under Marmota monax (woodchuck). Its description in RNAcentral is "tRNA.Thr". Lineage: Eukaryota; Metazoa; Chordata; Mammalia; Rodentia; Sciuridae. The record is from RNAcentral.